Molecule: long non-coding RNA, 1033 nt
Filed under: Felis catus (domestic cat)
Lineage: Eukaryota; Metazoa; Chordata; Mammalia; Carnivora; Felidae
Description: lncRNA (ENSFCAG00000051860.1)
Source: RNAcentral
CUCUGCGGUCAACUCUCGGAGGACCCUCCGCGCUGUGGUCCAGGGCGGCUGCCCCCGUCUGCGUUCCCGCCCACAGGGCGGGAGGGGCCCCCUUUCUCGGCGACGUCGCCAGCGUCGGUUGUUGCCCGAGUUGCUGCUUUUAGCCGUUCUGGCGGGUGUGGGGUGGCGCCUCGUGCCUUUGAUUUGCAUUUCCGUGACGACCAGCGGCGUGGAGCGUAAUUGCGCGUCUGCAGAUUUGGGGGACGGCGUCUGUUUCGAUCUCUGCCCGGGUUUGAGUCGUGUUGCUGUGUGGCUGCUACUUGACUCGGGCGAGGCUUUUAUCUACUGAGCGCAUCAGCUCCUCAUCAGACACACGAGGCACAGGCGCUUCCUCUCCUUCCGGGCUCUCUCCCGCUUUGGUGCUAGUUUCCUUUCUGUGCAGAAGCUUUUUAGUUCCACGUGGGUCGUUUGUUUGCUCUUGUCGCUUUCGCCUUUGGUGUCCAGGGUGGAGAAGUCACCGCCGAGACCGAGGCCGAGGAAGAGGGCUCUGCCUUUGUCUGGGUGAGGGGUCCGGGGCAAGCACUGCUGACCUUGACUGCUCGGGGAGGCGGCCGGGUCGCACACGUGGGAAGAGAGGCCCUCGGACGCUGCUGCAGGGGCAGGUGGAAGCAGGCUCGGAUGCCCGACCCCUCCGCUGCCAUGGGCUGUCCCCAGCUGAGUGUCGCAGGGUGAGGCGGAGAUCCGGAGCAGCGCUGAGGGUGUGGAGAGCGGAGGGCGGCCCGCGCGGGCUGAACGGCUCCUGCCGAGCCCGGGAGGCGCGGAGAGCGCGGGCGGGUGGGCGAGCCGGGAGCAGGGGGGAGGCUCGCAGCACGCGGAUGGCGGUGGCCGCCCGGAGCCCCAUCCGAGAGGCCGCGGGCCGCGCUGGGGGGGCGGACCUUCAUCAGGCGGCCGGCGGGGAGCCCCGAAGGGUCCAAAUGGACACGUCCUCGUCCUUGCGCACAGCACACAGCGGGGCGACUUGAGCCUGGAUUGGAGGGCGGGGGGCCCGCAUCAC